AAUUUUAUAGUAUAAUAAAUAUAUUAAUUUGCAAAAUUAAUGAUACCUUUAGGUUAAAAUUU
This 62-nucleotide transfer RNA is filed under the name Colossendeis brevirostris. RNAcentral's name for it is "tRNA-Cys". The record is from RNAcentral. RNAcentral also lists the same sequence under 1 other name. Lineage: Eukaryota; Metazoa; Arthropoda; Pycnogonida; Pantopoda; Colossendeidae.